UUUUGAAUCAACCAUUUAUCUCAUCUCAAAUUCAUAAAUAUGUCAUCACAAGGUCGUAAUAUGAAUGCAAACAUGGAUCCUCCUAUACGUAGACGG
Non-coding RNA from Camelina sativa (false flax), 96 nucleotides. The record is from RefSeq and is a predicted model, not a curated record. NCBI's taxonomy places the organism in Eukaryota, Viridiplantae, Streptophyta, Magnoliopsida, Brassicales, Brassicaceae.